Molecule: ribosomal RNA, 253 nt
Filed under: uncultured bacterium
Lineage: Bacteria
Description: partial 16S ribosomal RNA
Rfam family: Bacterial small subunit ribosomal RNA
Source: RNAcentral
UACGAAGGGGACUAGCGUUGUUCGGAAUUACUGGGCGUAAAGCGCACGUAGGCGGAUUUGUUAGUCAGGGGUGAAAUCCCGGGGCUCAACCUCGGAACUGCCUUUGAUACUGCAAGUCUCGAGUCCGAUAGAGGUGGGUGGAAUUCCUAGUGUAGAGGUGAAAUUCGUAGAUAUCGGGAGGAACACCGGUGGCGAAGGCGGCGACCUGGGUCGAGACUGACGCUGAGGCGCGAAAGCGUGGGGAGCAAACAGG